UAGGCGCGUUCGCUCGGCCGCGCGCUCGCCUUUUCUUUUUGCGCCCCCUUUUCCCCCGUCCCUCUUCCUCUGGCCGCUAAUACGCAGGCUAUUUGGGGCUCGUCACGCUAGGCGGCGCUUGGAAGGUAGAAGUAGACCAUUGAGCCCUCCGCUUGACCUGACUUGAAUAUCAUAUUUCUAGCGCCUCUUUGCGAGAAGCCGUUAGCUAGUUAGUUCAUGCUAACCUAUUAAGGAAUGCGACCAGUUUCUUUGCUGUUGAAUUUAGCUUGUGUUUUGAUCCUUGUUGAUGUUUGUGGAUGUUUUGAGCGCUGCGCGAAGAUUGAUGAUUGCACUUGCAGAACAGAGAAAGGAGAUAUCAACCUUAGGAGAGUUUCAAGGCUUAGUGCAGUUGGUUCAAUCCCGACCCUACAGUACACAUGGAGUCCUUGUGUACCAUGGACUCUGAAUCAAACCAUGGAAAACAACCAGUGUGUAAACGUAUCUAUGUGCCGAGUGGAUAGGAGUCCAUUUGGAAUGCUGGAGAUGAAUAUCGGUGAGCACCAAACCAUGCAGUGUUCAGUUGACAGAACCACCGGUCUCUGCCUCAUCCAGUAUGGAGUAAGAAAUAAUCCCAGCACACCAUCCUAUACUACAAAUGUGCUUGUCCUGGGAAAUGUCCACUGAAAAGCAACGGACUAAGAGUUUGGCUUAUCAUAGUAAUUGUGGUGGCAGGUUUUAUUGCUUUAUACUUCAUUUGUGGAAUAGCAUUCAACAAAUUUGUAAGAGGAAAACAAGGAAAGAAGGUUUUCCCUCAUUGGUCAUUUUGGGUUUGGUUGGUCAACCAAACCAAGAAUUGCUGCACCCAUCUGUUCUGCUGCUGCUUAGCAAAAGGUCAUGACUAUGAGAGGAUUUAAUCUUGGAAAUAGAGUAUUUCAAUACUGUACACCAUAGGAGAUUAAAAAUUAAAACUGAAGACAUGUAUGUCAACUCCAUUUCUCAAACAUUACUUCUAAUCAUCUUUGAGUAAUACUUUUAGGGAGGGAGCUUCAGCCUUGGUCUUUAUGGGUACUGUAUUUACUUCAUCAUACCCUAUCAAAUAUUAUUCAGAAAUCAAGAUCAAUCCAAAUCCUCUGGUAUUGCUGAAUAAACACUACAAAACCUAAGACUUUAUUAGGAAAAUAAGUCACAAUUUUCACAAAUUAUGUUAACAAAAAGUGACAAGUGUUUUAUGUAUUGAAUUCUGUUUGUGACUUGUGUUUCUCUCAACAUUUUCCACCGUAUGCAAAGAUAGUAUUAUUUGUGGCUAUCUCAGUGUCUUUUGAGUCUGUUAAAACUCAGCUGCACAUGAGACAAGGGAUGGAGCUAGAACACCUCUUUCCUUAAGAGUGUGUCAUCAAGGCCCGUUUUUCAGUAUGUGACGUAAAAAAUGCAUCAACCAUACAAAGAUAAUACAAUACAUUUCUCUCAAACAGUAUGUAUUUCUGUAGCCAUAAACUCACCUUUACUGUACAAUACAAAAAUCAUUAUAAAAUCUAGCAUAUGGCAUAAAAGGAUAGAAAAUAGAUGCACUUACAUUGGCUAAUUUCUAUCUUAUACUAUAACACCUUUAUUUCUACAUGGUAGAUACCCAAGAUAUUGGUUUUGAAAAAGUAACAAAAUUUUGUCAGACAAUACAGUUCAUCAUUGCCAUUUAAAGUUUUCCGUAACUUUUGAACAAUGAAUCAACUGUAGAAUGGUAUAGAUUAGGUAAAAAUGUACUGUCCAAAUGUUCAAUUCAUAUCCUAUAUACAUAGUGUGCAUACUCUUAAAAAAGGUAUCAUUUGCAGCCAAAGUUUUAGAGAAUUGGGAUUUAAUAAAAUACCCAAGUGCUGUCUUAUGAAAAAGUAUAUAAACCACAAUGCAAUGUGUAAUUCACUAGAUAUAAAAAUAUUAUAAUUAGGAAAUGGGAUGCAAAGAAAAAAAACACUCUACACUGCACAGCAGUGACAAGAGCUGUCUUAAAUUUAGAAAAAGAAUUCCAGGUGUUACACUUCUCCCCAAUUUUGAAAAAUAUUUCAAUUCUUUCAACCUCCCAUAUAAUCCCCAAUUUGUCAGAAGCUCAUUAAAAAUAUAUAAUCAUAUGGCAAAGGCAAAAACUGAGGAUGCAGCGACCAGCAUUACCAGUACCAUAGGCAGACCCAGGGGGUGGGGCCAUAUCCCCCCUAUUCUCAGAAAUUUUACUGAAAAAUAUGAAGAAAAAUAAGGAUUCACAGAAGAACUACAAACCUUGCCCCCUUAAAAUCUUUUCUUUGGCCCAUUCUUAUUGACACUCCUGAAUCUGCCUCUUAAUACAUUGCUUGACUUAAUAAUCAAGUAAGCCCCCAAGAAUGCCUUAUAAAAACUCCUUGUCUCUGAAUUGCAUAAUUUGUACAGUGAUAUAUAAGUAUAAAAAUAUAAGCCAGAUAUUUAUCUAUCUAGCAGAGUAUUUCUCUGUAAGAAGUUUAGGAGUGACUAGCUAAGGUGAGACCUGUAUGGAUUCAUGUUGGUUGAUCGUAAAUGGGCACAAACAUCGUCCACUGCUACUUCAUGCAUUUCCUCUAGAAAUGGAAUGAGUUCCAAUAACUCACAGUCAUUUGGGUCAUCGAACCAGGACGUUACAGGGAUCUGAAAGAUGCACAAGAGCCAAGUCAAAGCCUGCAAUGAUAUAAACUUAUUUACCUACAUGUCAAGAGCCAUGCAAAAGAGCAAAGUCAAAGCAUGCAAUGAUCUAAACUUAUUUAGCUACAUGACAACAAUUUAUCAAAAAUUGUAAAACAGUGGAAAUGGGAUGAAAAAAGCAUCACUUUUAUACAUGGGGUAUGGAUUGUAUGGUUUCUUGGCAGAGAUUUCUAUAGGGACUAAAUUUGGCAAAUUUCUUACUGUUUUCAAGACAGCUCCCUAUUUUGAAGGUUCUCCUUAGACAUGUUUCAAAAUUAGGAGCUCUUCUCACCUAUAAUACUGCUAUUUGAUAAUUUCUGCAUGACAAACUGCUGCUAAAUCACUUAACAUGAUCUUGUUUUCACUUACAGCAUUUUCUGGAUGAAAACUGUAUGAUGCUGGAGAAUUAUCCAAUAUAAGGACCUUUUUUAAAUCUCUUCCCAACUUGCUUAGGUCCUGCAAAUACAAAAUCAAGAUACCAUUUGAGAUUAAAUAAGAAAAGAAGAAACCAAGCAACCUAAGAAGUGGAAUGUCUCCCUCACAACUGUUCUGGACUUGCUGUACUACUGUAGACUGUGCUUCAGUCCAAAAUAGCUGAAAGGGAGACUAAGUAGGAGGGUAGAGGUAGACAGAGGUCCUACAGAGCCCAAAAUUUUCUUCUCGCCCCCCCUCCUCCCCCCCAAAAAAAACAUACCCUGACUUAAAUUCUAUAUAUUAUAGCUUGAUGCUAAGAUACUUUAAAGGAAAACAUCAGACACACAGAGUUAUGUCACUGUUAUAAGUAAAGGCACAACAGACCCAUGUUGCUUUGAAGCUUAGGGGGAAAUCUGAUUUCGAUAGGCAGUAGAUAAUCCUUACCUUGACAUAAUUUCCCCUGUGGAAAACACAUGAUUCUCGAAAUAACCUUGCCCUAAAUGUGUUAUACUUGUCCAGCAAAUCAGCAACAGGGUCUGCAUACUGGGAAUCAUAAAAAUGAUUUUUUUUUUGCAAAUAUUCAUCAAGCAGAGAGCAAAUUAAGAGUACAACAGCCAUUUUAAACACAAUGUCACCUUUGCUAAACUUGCUGUGAAAAGCACACAUUCAUAUAUCUGCCCUACUCUCUUUAGAAACUCAUCCACAUGCGGUCUUUUGAGGACAUAAACCUGUAAUAGAAUAACAAAACUUUUCAGUAGGUAAACUACUAUGACAUCUGGACUUGACUUUGGAUUAACCUUAGUUUUAGAUAAGGUUGGUCUAAAAAUAGAGCUAUUUGAUUGGCAAAUUUGGAAACCUACUGCUGAGAAACCUGAUAUUCCAACUUGAACUUUUAGCUGGUUUAUAGAGAGAAAUAAUGAAUGGAUGCCAUAUCUAGCUAGAAUUUAGGCAAUAUGAGAACAAAGUCCCCAUUCCAGAACAUAUCUUCUUUUUAGGACCAUCAAGGUGGUAAAAUUAAAUUCAUAACUUCAAAUUUAGAAAAACAAUUAGCCUCCAAUGUAACCUCAGAUUUGUCACAAUAAUGCACAAAUGUACAAUAAUGUACACCUCAUUCCCUAUUUAAUUCAUGUAUAAUUUUUAUAUGGCUUUAUUUGUGUAACAUAAAACUCUCUGUGAGGUAAAAUCAGUUGUAAUAUCUUAGGUACUUUCCCUUGCAGAAAGGGAUAAAUCUCUUGUUGCCAUA
This is a long non-coding RNA of Nematostella vectensis (starlet sea anemone), 4312 nucleotides long. RefSeq lists it as uncharacterized. Lineage: Eukaryota; Metazoa; Cnidaria; Anthozoa; Actiniaria; Edwardsiidae. The transcript is spliced from 7 exons. The record is from RefSeq and is a predicted model, not a curated record.